AUUGAACGCUGGCGGAAUGCUUUACACAUGCAAGUCGAACGGCAGCACGGACUUCGGUCUGGUGGCGAGUGGCGAACAGGUGAGUAAUACAUCGGAACGUGCCCAAUCGUGGGGGAUAACGUAGCGAAAGCUACGCUAAUACCGCAUACGAUCUAAGGAUGAAAGCGGGGGAUCGCAAGACCUCGCGCGAUUGGAGCGGCCGAUGGCAGAUUAGGUAGUUGGUAGGGUAAAGGCCUACCAAGCCGACGAUCUGUAGCUGGUCUGAGAGGAUGCUCAGCCACACUGGGACUGAGACACGGACCAGACUCCUACGGGAGGCAGCAGUGGGGAAUUUUGGACAAUGGACGCAAGUCUUAUCCAGCCAUUCCGCGUGCAGGAUGAAGGCCCUCGGGUUGUAAACUGCUUUUGUACAGAACGAAAAGGCUCUGGUUAAUACCUAGGGCUCAUGACGGUACUGUAAGAAUAAGCACCGGCUAACUACGUGCCAGCCGCCGCCGUAA
This 500-nucleotide ribosomal RNA is filed under the name uncultured bacterium. RNAcentral's name for it is "partial 16S ribosomal RNA". It matches the Rfam family "Bacterial small subunit ribosomal RNA", at positions 30 to 523 of the family's 1533-position model. The record is from RNAcentral.